UUAUCGAAAAUUAUCCGCGUUGAGUAGCUUCGCGCUAGUAUUCGAAGCGUCGCUCAUGUGGUGUAUUCGGCGAGCUAUGGCUUUCAAGGCCAUACCUUGCUUAGGCUAAUGCAAAUUUCUCGCAAUCAUUUGCUCCAUGCGAGACGAUGAUGGCCGUCAAGUGUUGCUCUCUCAGAUGCACGGCUUCUAGCGUGUGUUGCUCGUUGGUGAUAUAAGGUUUGAGGCUGGCAUCGACAGCUAGUGAGAGUGAUGCGAGGGGGUUGUCACUUUGU
Molecule: unclassified non-coding RNA, 272 nt
Filed under: Hysterothylacium sp. type VI SS-2014
Lineage: Eukaryota; Metazoa; Nematoda; Chromadorea; Rhabditida; Raphidascarididae
Description: sequence contains ITS2
Source: RNAcentral